AAGUAAAGGCAUCGGACGGAUACCUAGACAUAAAAUAGAUGAAGGGACGUAAAAAAAUGCGAUAAGCGUCAAUAUUAUCCUUAAAUGGUAUUAAAUAUAAAAAAUUGACGAUUUCCCUAGAGGAAACUUUCCUUAUAUAGGAAUUGCGAAUUAAAGCAAGAUAACUUUCUGAAGUGAAACAUCUCAGUAAGAAAAGGAAAAGAAAUCAAACGAGAAUUUGUAAGUAGUGGCGAACGAAAGCAAAAAUGUCCAUAAAAACUAAAUAAAAAUAAUUAAUUUAUCCAACCAUGAAUUUGGGAUCUAUGUAAAAGAGUAUAAGAAUACAACCAAAGAAGGUGAAAGUCCUGUAUAUAUUAGAUGAAAAAUGGAAACUAAUGAAUAAUUUUUUUCUUUGAAAGAAAAAUUAGUAAAACAACACAUGUGAAAUGUUGUUUGAAGAUCGGGAAACCAUUCUCGAAGGACAAAAUAUAUUUUAUGAUCUAUAGUGAACAAGUACCGUGAGGGAAAGGUGUAAAAAGAGCGUGAAAUCCGAAUGUUUAACAAGCAGUUGAAGUCAAAUUUAAAAGAACUACAGCGUACCUUUUGUAUAAUGGGCCAGCAAGUUUAGAUGUAUUGGCAAGCUUUGAAGGCGUAGGGAAACCGAGUUUGAAAGAUAGCGAAAAGUCAAUAAUCUAAGACCCGAAACUGAGUGAUCUAGUCAUGGCCAGGCUGAAAGCCAUUUAACAAUGGACUGGAGGGCCGAACACACGUCUGUGGAAAGAGGCGGUGAUGAGCUGUGAUUAGGGGUGAAAGGCUAAUCAAACUCAGUGAUAGCUGGUUUUCCGCGAAAUCUAUUUAGGUAGAGCGUAUCUUAUUUUCUCGUGGGGUAGAGCACUGUUCAAGGAAGGGGGUUUCAUCGCCUACCGACUUUAAGCAAACUCCGAAUACACUAGAGAUAAAAAAUUAAGGUAUAGACAGUCUAUGGGUGAUAAGAUCCAUAGACGAGAGGGCAACAGCCCAGAUUGAAUGUUAAGGUCCCUAAAUUUGUUCUAAGUCUAAGGAAGUCAUCAAAUGAAAAGAAUACUAAGGUAGGCUUGGAAGCAGCCAUUCUUAAAUUUUUGGAAAGCGUAACAGCUCAUUGACCUAAUUUCUUGGCACUAAAAAUGUACGGGUUUAAAGAACAAUACCGAAACAACAACUUUGUUUAUUAUUAUAAAUGAAGGGUAGCGGAACUAUCUGUUUUCCGAAGACUAAAAAUUGUAAAAUUCUUUAAGAGGAAUCAGAAUGAUAAUGCUGGCAUGAGUAACGAUAAACUUCAUUAAGAAUUGAAGUCGCCGUAAGCCCAAGGUUUUCUCACACAAUGUUCGACAGUGUAGAGUUAAGCGGUCCCUAAGCAAAAUUCGAAAGAAGUAUGCGAUGGGCUAGAAAGACUUAAAGAAAGUAAAUUUUAUUGAACUCUUGAUAGGCUUUCAGUUGAAUUUGUGGACAGUUUUAAAUAGCGGUUUCAUAUAUGGAAAUGAUUGACUCCGUGAACUAUAGACUCUAGAAAAAACAAAUUCUUAAAUAAACCGUACCUUAAACCGACACAGGUGGGCGGGCAUAAAUGUGCUAAGGCGCGCGGGAGAACUGUCUUGAAGGAACUCGGCAAAAAAAACCUCGUAACUUCGGAAUAAGAGGGGGUUUAUUAACGAUAAACCUACAAAUAACACGGGAUAGCGACUGUUUAAUAAAAACACAGGUCUUUGCUAAUUCGCAAGAAGACGUAUAAAGGCUGACAACUGCCCGGUGCUGGAAGAUUAACUCAAGAAAAGUGUAAGCUUUCAAGGGAAGUCCCAGUAAACGGCGGCGGUAACUCUGACCGUCCUAAGGUAGCGAAAUUCCUUGUCCACUAAUUAUGGUCCUGCAUGAAUGUUGUAACGACUGUCCCACUGUCUCCAAGACAGACCCGGUGAAAUUGAAUUCUCCGUGAAGAUGCGGAGUUCCCGCGGUCAGACGGAAAGACCCCGUGAA
Molecule: ribosomal RNA, 1989 nt
Filed under: Aplanochytrium sp. PBS07
Lineage: Eukaryota; Bigyra; Thraustochytrida; Thraustochytriidae
Description: partial Bacterial large subunit ribosomal RNA
Rfam family: Bacterial large subunit ribosomal RNA
Source: RNAcentral